This 103-nucleotide ribosomal RNA is filed under the name Psilotum nudum. Its description in RNAcentral is "4.5S ribosomal RNA". The record is from RNAcentral. Lineage: Eukaryota; Viridiplantae; Streptophyta; Polypodiopsida; Psilotales; Psilotaceae.
UAAGGUCACGGCAAGACGAGCCGUUUAUUAUCACGAUAGGUGCCAAGUGGAAGUGCAGUAAUGUACGCAGCUGAGGCAUCCUAACAGACCGAUGGCUUUGAAC